GACGAACGCUGGCGGCGUGCUUAACACAUGCAAGUCGAACGAUGAACCCGGAGCUUGCUCUGGGGGAUUAGUGGCGAACGGGUGAGUAACACGUGAGUAACCUGCCCUGGACUCUGGGAUAAGCGUUGGAAACGACGUCUAAUACCGGAUAGGACCUUGGAUCGCAUGAUCUGGGGUGGAAAGUUUUUUCGGUCUGGGAUGGACUCGCGGCCUAUCAGCUUGUUGGUGAGGUAAUGGCUCACCAAGGCGUCGACGGGUAGCCGGCCUGAGAGGGUGACCGGCCACACUGGGACUGAGACACGGCCCAGACUCAUACGGGAGGCAGCAGUGGGGAAUAUUGCACAAUGGGCGAACGCCUGAUGCAGCAACGCCGCGUGCGGGAUGACGGCCUUCGGGUUGUAAACCGCUUUUAGUAGGGAAGAAGGGCUUCGGCUUGACGGUACCUGCAGAAAAAGGACCGGCUAACUACGUG
RNAcentral lists this ribosomal RNA (472 nucleotides) under uncultured bacterium. Its description in RNAcentral is "partial 16S ribosomal RNA". It matches the Rfam family "Bacterial small subunit ribosomal RNA", at positions 28 to 507 of the family's 1533-position model. The record is from RNAcentral.